Molecule: long non-coding RNA, 526 nt
Organism: Helicoverpa armigera (cotton bollworm)
Lineage: Eukaryota; Metazoa; Arthropoda; Insecta; Lepidoptera; Noctuidae
Exons: 3
Source: RefSeq, a predicted model, not a curated record
GUUCCUAUAUAACGUUGUUAUUUUGGUACAAGUAAACUUAGUAGUGUGGAGUAAGAGUUACAGUGCUGUCGUGUUUCUAGAAACGAUGAAGGAAAUUAAUUUAUUGUUUAUUAUUGUUAUAUUUACUUUGAUGGAGUCGGUUAUAGGCCAACCUGUGAGUGCUCAAGCUUUUACUUUUUCCUACGAGAAUUACCGAGAUAAGUACCAAAAAAUCAGAAGCGGACAAACCGACGAAAUUGCCAACGUACAGCAACAUGGAGAAUUGACAAAAGGCAACGGUAACUUCCCGGGACUACAGACACCUUACGCUUCCUGGUACAAAAAGUUCUAUAAAACUUAGUUGCAUCUGGUUAAUGUUUUGUAAAAUUAAUAUUGAAGGUAAAUGUGUGUACUCAGAAACUUGGCUGCGUUAUACCUAAUUAAGUUUUAUAAGUAAGACAUUAUACUUUUUCUUCAAGCUUUACUUACAAUGUAAAUAAAGUUAUUAAUAUAAAUAUGAGUUAAUAUUAUUUAUUUUAGUAUCUAC